GAAUUCUGCAGAGAUGCGGAAGUGCCUUCGGGAACUGUGAGACAGGUGCUGCAUGGCUGUCGUCAGCUCGUGUUGUGAAAUGUUGGGUUAAGUCCCGCAACGAGCGCAACCCUUAUCCUUUGUUGCCAGCGAUUAGGUCGGGAACUCAAAGGAGACUGCCAGUGAUAAACUGGAGGAAGGUGGGGAUGACGUCAAGUCAUCAUGGCCCUUACGACCAGGGCUACACACGUGCUACAAUGGCGCAUACAAAGAGAAGCGACCUCGCGAGAGCAAGCGGACCUCAUAAAGUGCGUCGUAGUCCGGAUUGGAGUCUGCAACUCGACUCCAUGAAGUCGGAAUCGCUAGUAAUCGUGGAUCAGAAUGCCACGGUGAAUACGUUCCCGGGCCUUGUACACACCGCCCGUCACACCAUGGGAGUGGGUUGCAAAAGAAGUAGGUAGCUUAACCUUCGGGAGGGCGCUUACCACUUUGUGAUUCAUGACUGGGGUGAAGUCGUAACAAGGUAACCGUAGGGGAACCUGC
RNAcentral lists this ribosomal RNA (522 nucleotides) under Salmonella enterica subsp. enterica serovar Derby. RNAcentral's name for it is "bacterial SSU rRNA". It matches the Rfam family "Bacterial small subunit ribosomal RNA", at positions 993 to 1515 of the family's 1533-position model. Lineage: Bacteria; Pseudomonadati; Pseudomonadota; Gammaproteobacteria; Enterobacterales; Enterobacteriaceae. The record is from RNAcentral. RNAcentral also lists the same sequence under 5 other names.